This 90-nucleotide microRNA precursor is filed under the name Cajanus cajan (pigeon pea). RNAcentral describes it as "miRNA gene-KK1_050661". Lineage: Eukaryota; Viridiplantae; Streptophyta; Magnoliopsida; Fabales; Fabaceae. The record is from RNAcentral.
UGAAAAAUAUUAUUGUGAACUCAAAACUAUUACUAGAUUAUUUAUUUAUUUGUUUUAUUUUUCAAUCUUUGAGAAAAUUGAUCUUUUCAU